CCGGCGCACGGGUGAGUAACACGUAUGGAACCUGCCCUAUGCAGGGGGAUAAGCGGAAGAAAUUCCGUCUAAUACCGCAUAACACCAUUUGGAGACAUCUCCAGGGGGUCAAAGGAGGCGGCUCCGGCAUAGGAUGGCCAUGCGUCGCAUUAGCUAGUCGGCGGGGUAACGGCCCACCGAGGCGACGAUGCGUAGGGGUUCUGAGAGGAAGGUCCCCCACACUGGUACUGAGACACGGACCAGACUCCUACGGAAGGCAGCAG
RNAcentral lists this ribosomal RNA (263 nucleotides) under uncultured bacterium. RNAcentral's name for it is "partial 16S ribosomal RNA". It matches the Rfam family "Bacterial small subunit ribosomal RNA", at positions 95 to 354 of the family's 1533-position model. The record is from RNAcentral.